UCGCUGUGACGAAAAUGAUUCCAAAAUCAUUCGUAGUUUCUACUAGAGGUUGCAAGACCAAAGAUGGCCCGAGUACCUUCCUUGGAUGUCUGAGCGA
This is a small nucleolar RNA of Conger conger (European conger), 97 nucleotides long. RefSeq annotates it as small nucleolar RNA SNORD14. NCBI's taxonomy places the organism in Eukaryota, Metazoa, Chordata, Actinopteri, Anguilliformes, Congridae. The record is from RefSeq and is a predicted model, not a curated record. The transcript has a single exon.